Molecule: ribosomal RNA, 226 nt
Filed under: Sinorhizobium sp.
Lineage: Bacteria; Pseudomonadati; Pseudomonadota; Alphaproteobacteria; Hyphomicrobiales; Rhizobiaceae
Description: partial 16S ribosomal RNA
Rfam family: Bacterial small subunit ribosomal RNA
Source: RNAcentral
AGGCUUAACACAUGCAAGUCGAGCGCGUAGCAAUACGAGCGGCAGACGGGUGAGUAACGCGUGGGAAUCUACCCUUUUCUACGGAAUAACGCAGGGAAACUUGUGCUAAUACCGUAUACGCCCUUUGGGGGAAAGAUUUAUCGGAGAAGGAUGAGCCCGCGUUGGAUUAGCUAGUUGGUGGGGUAAAGGCCUACCAAGGCGACGAUCCAUAGCUGGUCUGAGAGGA